Molecule: ribosomal RNA, 253 nt
Filed under: uncultured bacterium
Lineage: Bacteria
Description: partial 16S ribosomal RNA
Rfam family: Bacterial small subunit ribosomal RNA
Source: RNAcentral
GACAGAGGGUGCAAACGUUGUUCGGAAUUACUGGGCGUAAAGCGUGUGUAGGCGGCUACGUAAGUCGGAUGUGAAAGCCCCAGGCUCAACCUGGGAAGUGCACUCGAUACUGCGUAGCUUGAGUAUCGGAGAGGUUGGUGGAAUUCUCGGUGUAGAGGUGAAAUUCGUAGAUAUCAAGCGGAACACCGGUGGCGAAGGCGGCCUUCUGGACAGUGACUGACGCUGAGACGCGAAAGCGUGGGGAGCAAACAGG